RNAcentral lists this ribosomal RNA (497 nucleotides) under uncultured bacterium. Its description in RNAcentral is "partial 16S ribosomal RNA". It matches the Rfam family "Bacterial small subunit ribosomal RNA", at positions 28 to 507 of the family's 1533-position model. The record is from RNAcentral.
GAUGAACGCUGGCGGCGUGCCUAAUACAUGCAAGUCGAGCGAACGGACGAGAAGCUUGCUUCUCUGAUGUUAGCGGCGGACGGGUGAGUAACACGUGGAUAACCUACCUAUAAGACUGGGAUAACUUCGGGAAACCGGAGCUAAUACCGGAUAAUAUUUUGAACCGCAUGGUUCAAAAGUGAAAGACGGUCUUGCUGUCACUUAUAGAUGGAUCCGCGCUGCAUUAGCUAGUUGGUAAGGUAACGGCUUACCAAGGCAACGAUGCAUAGCCGACCUGAGAGGGUGAUCGGCCACACUGGAACUGAGUCACGGUCCAGACUCCUACGGGAGGCAGCAGUAGGGAAUCUUCCGCAAUGGGCGAAAGCCUGACGGAGCAACGCCGCGUGAGUGAUGAAGGUCUUCGGAUCGUAAAACUCUGUUAUUAGGGAAGAACAUAUGUGUAAGUAACUGUGCACAUCUUGACGGUACCUAAUCAGAAAGCCACGGCUAACUACGUG